RNAcentral lists this ribosomal RNA (374 nucleotides) under uncultured organism. Its description in RNAcentral is "bacterial SSU rRNA". It matches the Rfam family "Bacterial small subunit ribosomal RNA", at positions 526 to 896 of the family's 1533-position model. The record is from RNAcentral.
CGUAGGGCGCAAGCGUUAUCCGGAAUUAUUGGGCGUAAAGAGCUCGUAGGCGGUUUGUCGCGUCUGCCGUGAAAGUCCGGGGCUCAACUCCGGAUCUGCGGUGGGUACGGGCAGACUAGAGUGAUGUAGGGGAGACUGGAAUUCCUGGUGUAGCGGUGAAAUGCGCAGAUAUCAGGAGGAACACCGAUGGCGAAGGCAGGUCUCUGGGCAUUAACUGACGCUGAGGAGCGAAAGCAUGGGGAGCGAACAGGAUUAGAUACCCUGGUAGUCCAUGCCGUAAACGUUGGGCACUAGGUGUGGGGGACAUUCCACGUUUUCCGCGCCGUAGCUAACGCAUUAAGUGCCCCGCCUGGGGAGUACGGCCGCAAAGGCUA